AGCAGCCGCGGUAAUUCCAGCUCCAAUAGCGUAUAUUAAAGUUGUUGUAGUUAAAAGCUCGUAGUUGAAUUUUGGGUUUGGCUGAUUGGUCCGUUCUUGUAACGAGUACUGGUCGGUUGGGCCUCACCGCUUGGUGAUGCGUAAUGCCCUUUAUUGGGUGUUGCGAGUAGCCAAGACCUUUACCUUGAAAAAUUAGAGUGUUUAAAGCAGGCAUAUGCCGGAAUACAUUAGCAUGGAAUAAUAGAAUAGGACAACGAUUCUAUUUUGUUGGUUUCUGGGACCGUUGUAAUGAUUAAUAGGGAUAGUUGGGGGCAUUAGUAUUCAAUUGUCAGAGGUGAAAUUCUUGGAUUUAUUGAAGACUAACUACUGCGAAAGCAUUUGCCAAGGAUGUUUUCAUUAAUCAAGAACGAAAGUUAGGGGAUCGAAGGCGAUCAGAUACCGUCGUAGUCU
This 450-nucleotide ribosomal RNA is filed under the name uncultured Archaeospora. RNAcentral's name for it is "SSU rRNA". It matches the Rfam family "Eukaryotic small subunit ribosomal RNA", at positions 569 to 1026 of the family's 1831-position model. The record is from RNAcentral. Lineage: Eukaryota; Fungi; Glomeromycota; Glomeromycetes; Archaeosporales; Archaeosporaceae.